Molecule: non-coding RNA, 425 nt
Filed under: Pan troglodytes (chimpanzee)
Lineage: Eukaryota; Metazoa; Chordata; Mammalia; Primates; Hominidae
Also listed under: 1 other name
Source: RNAcentral
GUGAUUUUACAACGAGAUGCUGCUCUCCAUAGGGAUGCUCAUGCUGUCAGCCACACAAGUCUACACCAUCUUGACUGUCCAGCUCUUUGCAUUCUUAAACCUACUGCCUGUAGAAGCAGACAUUUUAGCAUAUAACUUUGAAAAUGCAUCUCAGACAUUUGAUGACCUCCCUGCAAGAUUUGGUUAUAGACUUCCAGCUGAAGGUUUAAAGGGUUUUUUGAUUAACUCAAAACCAGAGAAUGCCUGUGAACCCAUAGUGCCUCCACCAGUAAAAGACAAUUCAUCUGGCACUUUCAUCGUGUUAAUUAGAAGACUUGAUUGUAAUUUUGAUAUAAAGGUUUUAAAUGCACAGAGAGCAGGAUACAAGGCAGCCAUAGUUCACAAUGUUGAUUCUGAUGACCUCAUUAGCAUGGGAUCCAACGACA